This 373-nucleotide unclassified non-coding RNA is filed under the name uncultured fungus. RNAcentral describes it as "partial contains 5.8S ribosomal RNA, internal transcribed spacer 2, and large subunit ribosomal RNA". Lineage: Eukaryota; Fungi. The record is from RNAcentral.
AACGCAUAUUGCGCUCGAGGCUCCGGCCGAGAGCAUGUCUGCCUCAGCGUCGGGUUAAUAUCACCAACAACUAUUAUUGGUGGACCUGGCUGUUCCAGCGAAAGGCGGUGUGAAGACUAUCUUAAACCAUAGUCCUAUACACCAGUAGUCCUGCUGGAUCAGCUGAAGUUCAGAGGCUAACUAAGGACCCGUUCAAAGGGCCGCAACUGGGUAGGUGUCUGUGGUGGUAGCACCGUAACAAGUGCUAUCAUCACUACUCAUCACAAACGCUUAGUUGUUGGUCUGGGACCUUAACCGUUGGGCCCUCAAACCAGGAAACAUAACCCCCUAUUAUCUCGACCUGAGCUCAGGCAAGAACACCCGCUGAACUUAA